This 524-nucleotide long non-coding RNA is filed under the name Nicotiana benthamiana. Its description in RNAcentral is "long non-coding RNA (NBEN_LNC042011)". The record is from RNAcentral. Lineage: Eukaryota; Viridiplantae; Streptophyta; Magnoliopsida; Solanales; Solanaceae.
UCAUCUAGGAAAGCCAUUAGGUAAUAAAUUAAUGGCAUCGGUCUUUGAUAAUUACAACCAGGGGCAGACCUAAUUCAGACUUCUUAUCUGAGAAAUAUGUGAUAAAUCAGCCUGCUUUCACGUUCAAGUUUAAUUAAAGACCUAACCAUUACUUGUAGGCCAUGCUAAACAAUUUGAUGCUUUGAGUAAGGAGGCCUAUAUGAGCCUUUAUUUACUAUGUGUUUCCCCCUUUUACUGUUGUAUGUGUUUUGUUUGUCGCACUAGACUUUUGUCCUUUUUAAACUCUGAAAAGCCAAUCUCCCUUCCCUUUUAGGACUAGUAGUCCCAACUGGCUCUUGGACUGAUAGGAUUGGGGCAGGUAAUAGCAUGCAAUAAGAAAUGAGGCCAAUCCGCGAUUUAAUACCUUAACAGGGUGGGUAAAGGGUAGACGUUGAUAUGAUGACCACGCGAUAACACCACGUGUAUAAAUGGUUACCAGGUGUUGUGUGGGGUAAUCCAUGUUAUUUAUAAACUUAGGACCCCCC